This 253-nucleotide ribosomal RNA is filed under the name uncultured bacterium. RNAcentral describes it as "partial 16S ribosomal RNA". It matches the Rfam family "Bacterial small subunit ribosomal RNA", at positions 524 to 776 of the family's 1533-position model. The record is from RNAcentral.
UACGUAGGGUGCAAGCGUUAAUCGGAAUUACUGGGCGUAAAGCGUGCGCAGGCGGUUAUGCAAGACAGAUGUGAAAUCCCCGGGCUUAACCUGGGAACCGCAUUUGUGACUGCAUAGCUGGAGUACGGCAGAGGGGGAUGGAAUUCCGCGUGUAGCAGUGAAAUGCGUAGAUAUGCGGAGGAACACCGAUGGCGAAGGCGAGUCCCUGGAAAACUCCUGACACUGAGGCACGAAAGCUAGGGGAGCAAACAGG